CGGAGCGUAGCGCAGUCUGGUAGCGCACUCGCCUGGGGGGCGAGGGGGCGGAGGUUCAAAUCCUCUCGUUCCGACCA
This 77-nucleotide transfer RNA is filed under the name Alphaproteobacteria bacterium. RNAcentral describes it as "tRNA-Pro". It matches the Rfam family "tRNA". From Rfam's summary of the family: Transfer RNA (tRNA) molecules are approximately 80 nucleotides in length. Their secondary structure includes four short double-helical elements and three loops (D, anti-codon, and T loops). The record is from RNAcentral. Lineage: Bacteria; Pseudomonadati; Pseudomonadota; Alphaproteobacteria. RNAcentral also lists the same sequence under 1 other name.